Sorex araneus (European shrew) is the source of this 871-nucleotide long non-coding RNA. RefSeq lists it as uncharacterized. The transcript has 3 exons. The record is from RefSeq and is a predicted model, not a curated record. NCBI's taxonomy places the organism in Eukaryota, Metazoa, Chordata, Mammalia, Eulipotyphla, Soricidae.
UCCCUGGCUGUGCGCUGAGGCGCCCUAUGUGCCAUCACCACGAGGCUUGGUCGGAGAACACGGCCCUCUGGGACACAUCACGAAGACCAAAGCCACUGUGGACACGGAAGGAAGAGACCCUCGUUCACUGCUGUCCCACUUUUGUUUCUAAAGGGGGAAUACCUAGUUUCAGCCUGACCUCGGAUUUGAUCUGAGUUUUCAGCAUCUGGGCUGCACCCAACAUGGCUGCAGGGGGACCCCUGACUCCAGGCCCCGGGAUCCGUCACAGCUGGGGGUGACAGGAGAGAGCCUGGCUCCAGCCCUGGGCCUUCUGCCCAGCCCACGCCCCGUGACCUCUCCUGGUGUCCCCGAAGCAAGGAAGAGCCCCUCCCUGCCUGCCCGCGUGCGAGUAACCAAGAGUGUGUCUGAGCACAUAUGGGAACUUGAAGGUUUUGCCUGAGGAAAAGAAAGUCGUGUGCUUCUCGGGUGAGUGAAGGUGUUCUCUGUCCCCGGCUCUGCCAAGCAGCAGCCACCAAACCUUCGCGUGAAUGCCGCCAGGAUCCGUGACACAUCCCCCAGCGUCUGGAGAUGGAAGCCACAGAACCUUAGGACGGGCCAGACCCUGGGCUCAGGCUCCGGAGCCCGAGCGGGCGUGCCGAGUGAGACGGGGAGCCAGUGCUCGCUCUUUCUCCCCACUCUCCCGUGCUGGAAAGGAGGAGAGAGAUGCCCUUUGCUCCGUUCCGCCUAGAGGAGCCCCAUUCUCCUUCUCUCUCGGGGGGCAGGGAGGGUUCGGGCCAUAGCCCGCUGUGCCCCAGGCCAGCGUGGGGCUCCGGGGACCGUCUGCAGUGCUAGCGACCAAGUGACGAGCUCUGUCCUCUCCCGAGCCCCACAG